UUUCCGUAGGUGAACCUGCGGAAGGAUCAUUCAUAAUAAGUGUUCUAUGGCACUUUUUUAAAUCCAUAUCCACCUUGUGUGCAAUGUCAGGGUUGAUUUUUCUUUCGAGAGGAUCAGCCCCAAACAUCAACUAUAUCUCAACUCUUUGUCUGAAAAAUAUUAUGAAUAAAACAAUUCAAAAUACAACUUUCAACAACGGAUCUCUUGGCUCUC
This 213-nucleotide unclassified non-coding RNA is filed under the name plant metagenome. RNAcentral describes it as "partial contains small subunit ribosomal RNA, internal transcribed spacer 1, and 5.8S ribosomal RNA". The record is from RNAcentral.